AGGACGAACGCUGGCGGCGUGCUUAACACAUGCAAGUCGAGCGGAAAGGCCCUUCGGGGUACUCGAGCGGCGAACGGGUGAGUAACACGUGAGUAACCUGCCCCAGGCUUUGGGAUAACCCUCGGAAGCGGGGGCUAAUAACCGGAUAUUCACUAUCGGCGGCAUCGUUGGUGGUGGAAAGUUUUUCGGCUUGGGAUGGGCUCGCGGCCUAUCAGCUUGUUGGUGGGGUGAUGGCCUACCAAGGCGACGACGGGUA
This 256-nucleotide ribosomal RNA is filed under the name uncultured bacterium. RNAcentral's name for it is "partial small subunit ribosomal RNA". It matches the Rfam family "Bacterial small subunit ribosomal RNA", at positions 26 to 285 of the family's 1533-position model. The record is from RNAcentral.